GGGGUGUCCCAGUACCGGCUGCCCCCUGAAGUGAGCCUCACCCUCUACAACCACGUGUGCUCCACGGACCUGUGCAACGACGACCAGACCUUGGCCUCACUCUGGAACACGUCCCGGGGGGGGGCGGGGGGGGCAGGAGCUGUGUCCCCGCAGGCGUGGGAGGCCGGCUGUGAGCUGGAGUCUGCCUGCCGCCAGCCCCCCCCCCCCCGGCUCGGGGGUCCUUCUGGCUCCGCCCACCCGCUGUGAGCUGGGGUUCGGGAUGAAGCAGACAGAAGUCGGAGGGGGCCGCGUGGGGGGCAUCCUCCUCCAAGGUCCCGGGACGCAUUCGAGCCUCCCAGCCAGCCCUGGAAACUUCAGCAGCAGGACCUUGGUGCCUGCCAAGAUCUGGCGUCAGGCCUGCGCUGCCCUGCAGUCCUGUCCCGAAGACUCGCCCUUCAUCCCCUCCCCCCAGAGGACCCACUGCUACCGAGGAGCCCUCAAACUCAUGAGCGCUGGGUGUAGGACUUAGCAGAGACAAGCUCAGAUGAAUGGCCAUCCCUCUGAUUUUAUUAUAGACUUCAAAGGAAAAACAGGUCGUCCACUUCAAGACCUGCCGAUUCAAGUAGCAUCCUCUAUUAUGUGUAUACAAAUGCUCAUUCGCUUUGGUUGUUGUUAGGUUUAAAAUAAAAAUUAGUUUUUAAAACA
This 684-nucleotide long non-coding RNA is filed under the name Phascolarctos cinereus (koala). Its description in RNAcentral is "lncRNA (ENSPCIG00000020858.2)". The record is from RNAcentral. Lineage: Eukaryota; Metazoa; Chordata; Mammalia; Diprotodontia; Phascolarctidae.